RNAcentral lists this long non-coding RNA (207 nucleotides) under Nicotiana benthamiana. Its description in RNAcentral is "long non-coding RNA (NBEN_LNC019939)". The record is from RNAcentral. Lineage: Eukaryota; Viridiplantae; Streptophyta; Magnoliopsida; Solanales; Solanaceae.
UUCCUUGUGAGGUCUACCUAGUUGCCUUUUAUCUCCCGCCGGUGGCUUUACUACCUCAUCCAAAAUAUGUUGUGGAACAUCCCAUUUGGCUUCAUCAGGAAGAGGAUUUACUGGCAUUUCAUAGGUAAGAAGAAGGCUCUUCCUUGUGUAAUACGGUGAGCAAUAGUUGUCAGGCCUUUCAUUCCUAUGCCUUAAUGCUGCCAAAGC